AAAUGAUUCUGCAUUCAUUUUUAAAAAUAGCGCAUAAUUAUCGAGUGAAAAAAAAUGAAUUUUACUUCCUUACACCCCUACUCGCGAAGACAUGGAGGUUUAAAGAGCGGAAAAUGCGCAGCGACAAUUCGGCGCAGCGACAAUUGGGCGCAACGACAAUUCGGCGCGGUGUCAAUACGGCGCAGCGACAAUUCGGCGCGUAUCUAUUACAGUUGCAAUUUAUUAUAAAUUACUUAGCAUAAAAAUAUAAGUAAUA
Long non-coding RNA from Gordionus sp. m RMFG-2023, 256 nucleotides. RefSeq lists it as uncharacterized. The transcript has 3 exons. NCBI's taxonomy places the organism in Eukaryota, Metazoa, Nematomorpha, Gordioida, Chordodea, Parachordodidae. The record is from RefSeq and is a predicted model, not a curated record.